RNAcentral lists this ribosomal RNA (116 nucleotides) under Anolis carolinensis (green anole). Lineage: Eukaryota; Metazoa; Chordata; Lepidosauria; Squamata; Anolidae. The record is from RNAcentral.
GCCGAUGGCCAUACCACCCUAAACAUGGCCAAUCUCAUCUGGUCUCAGAAGCUAAGCAGGGUCGGGCCUGGUUAAUACUUGGAUGAAAGACCUGGAAAUAAUGGGUGCUGUAGGCU